RNAcentral lists this ribosomal RNA (168 nucleotides) under Escherichia coli. RNAcentral describes it as "partial 16S ribosomal RNA". It matches the Rfam family "Bacterial small subunit ribosomal RNA", at positions 1 to 160 of the family's 1533-position model. The record is from RNAcentral. Lineage: Bacteria; Pseudomonadati; Pseudomonadota; Gammaproteobacteria; Enterobacterales; Enterobacteriaceae.
UUAAAUUGAAGAGUUUGAUCAUGGCUCAGAUUGAACGCUGGCGGCAGGCCUAACACAUGCAAGUCGAACGGUAACAGGAAGCAGCUUGCUGUUUUGCUGACGAGUGGCGGACGGGUGAGUAAUGUCUGGGAAACUGCCUGAUGGAGGGGGAUAACUACUGGAAACGGU